RNAcentral lists this ribosomal RNA (497 nucleotides) under uncultured bacterium. RNAcentral describes it as "partial 16S ribosomal RNA". It matches the Rfam family "Bacterial small subunit ribosomal RNA", at positions 28 to 507 of the family's 1533-position model. The record is from RNAcentral.
GAUGAACGCUGGCGGCGUGCCUAAUACAUGCAAGUCGAGCGAACAGAUGAGGAGCUUGCUCCUCUGACGUUAGCGGCGGAUGGGUGAGUAACACGUGGAUAACCUACCUAUAAGACUGGGAUACCUUCGGGAAACCGGAGCUAAUACCGGAUAAUAUAUUGAACCGCAUGGUUCAAUAGUGAAAGACGGUUUUGCUGUCACUUAUAGAUGUAUCCGCGCCGCAUUAGCUAGUUGGUAAGGUAACGGCUUACCAAGGCGACGAUGCGUAGCCGACCUGAGAGGGUGAUCGGCCACACUGGAACUGAGACACGGUCCAGACUCCUACGGGAGGCAGCAGUAGGGAAUCUUCCGCAAUGGGCGAAAGCCUGACGGAGCAACGCCGCGUGAGUGAUGAAGGUCUUCGGAUCGUAAAACUCUGUUAUUAGGGAAGAACAAAUGUGUAAGUAACUAUGCACGUCUUGACGGUACCUAAUCAGAAAGCCACGGCUAACUACGUG